This is a long non-coding RNA of Marmota monax (woodchuck), 1634 nucleotides long. RefSeq lists it as uncharacterized. NCBI's taxonomy places the organism in Eukaryota, Metazoa, Chordata, Mammalia, Rodentia, Sciuridae. The record is from RefSeq and is a predicted model, not a curated record. The transcript has 5 exons.
CUAGGGUCCUCAUUUGAGUGGGCAGGCUCCCAGCCCUUCAACAGCCGCCAAACUGGCAGAUCGCGGACUAGCCCAACCCAGUGCAUGCAGCUCGUGCGCGCGCAGAGCCUGCUUGACCAGCCCUACCCUGUUAGGGGGCCUUCACCCUCAGGCCGCAGGCGGGAGACCCGCGAGGGCAAGAUGCCCUGGAGGCCUCCUGGCUGGACGCGAUCAUUUAAGCGGGAAACCAACUCUUCUCUCGAUAAGGUCUCAAAGCUCUUUCAUGGGAAAUUUGCCGCUUUGGACUAAGAAAUGCUUGAGUUCCGAAAGAUAUAUGCACUCUGUCCUCCAGCGUUCUAGGAGGUUUUGAAAGUUCGUUUGCCAGCCUUCGGAUUGUACGGGGAGCCUCAUUUUACCAAGCGCUUUUUAUUGGUAUUGACUCAUUUGAACCUGAGAACACGCCUCUUCACCACUCAAGUAGGAAGGAAAUGUAUGAUUAUUAUCCUCUUUUUGUAGAGGAAAGAGUAACAACAAAGCAACAGUAACAGCAAAUAUUUAUUGAGCACUUAUCAUAGGAGCCAGGCCCUGUUGCCAGCCGUUUAAAAACAUUUAUAUUAUUUUAUUUUCACAGCAAUAGGAUGAGGUAGGUAUUAGUGCAAACAUAUUCUCUUCGCAAAGACGAGGAAACCGAAGUACCUGGCGGUUAAUUACUUAAGACCCCAGACGUCCAUCGCCCUAUUCUACUCCACGGGAUCAGUGCCCUAGAGCUACUCCAGACCUUAUCUUCUCAAAUAUCCUGAUGUGUUCUGGAUCAACACCAGUGACUCGAUGAUGAUAGAAGCAUCACACAGUGUCAUGUUUUAUUCAGCAGGUAUUCAAGCAACUGCUUCAUGCUUGGAACCAUGGGAAACAUUGGCAAAACAAGAGAUAAAAAGACAUGGUCUUUCUUUUGAAGGCUUGUUGAUACAGCACUGAACAAAUAAACCCCAAGACCAGAGAAUUUUGCCAGGACAUAAAACAACAGAAUUUCAGAUCUAUAAGAGAAAUACUCAGGUGCUCCUAAAAUGAAUUCCAGCACUCCUCUACACUUAAACCUGGUCUAUACUUAAAGAUAAAAAUGGUAAGAUUUCUAUUUAUCUGUCUGAACUUAAUUGACAAUUAUAACCUCACCAACUGUCUAAUGACAACAUCAGCAUAUGAUGUUCCAUUUAUCCUCCUUCCUGCAAAUGUUGACUGAUCAUUGAUGCCCAAGACAACUGUGGAAGACACAUGUUGAAGACAGCAGGGACUCCAUGAGGUUAUAUCCCUAAAUGGAACAGAACUGUCCUCUUUCCUCUCCACUUACACCCCAUUCCACACCAACUAUUGAGCUUUACUUCAAUGAAAAGCUGACUUUCUCACCUAUUUGUGGAUUUGCCUGUUAUACAAAUUCAAUUUAAUAUACUAUGUAACAUCAUCAGAUAGAUAUUUUAUUUUGGCAUUUUGACUGUGUGUCAGCAAAUAAUACACAACAUGACAACUCUGGGUUGGGUAAAAAUAUCCAAUUUUGGAUGAGGGUACAAUUAUCAUUAAGAGAUUCCAGUAAAUUCAGAAUCAAAGACUAUGUAUAUGAAUUCUUUUUCUAUGGCUAUGGAUACAAAUGAGAGGAAAAUAGA